CCUACGGGGGGCAGCAGUGGGGGAUAUUGCACAAUGGGGGGAACCCUGAUGCAGCGACGCCGCGUGGGUGAAGAAGCGCCUCGGCGCGUAAAGCCCUGUCAGCAGGGAAGAAAAUGACGGUACCUGAAGGAGAAGCCCCGGCUAACUACGUGCCAGAAGCCGCGGGAAGACGUAGGGGGCAAGCGUUAGCCGGAUUUACUGGGGGUAAAGGGGGCGCAGACGGCGAGGCAAGCCAGGAGUGAAAGCCCGGGGCCCAACCCCGGGACGGCUCUUGGAACUGCGUGGCUGGAGUGCAGGAGGGGCAGGUGGAAUUCCUGGUGUAGCGGUGAAAUGCGUAGAUAUCUGGAGGAACACCGGUGGCGAAGGCGGCCCGCUGGACUGCAACUGACGCUGAGGCCCGAAAGCGUGGGGUGCAAACAGGAUUAGAUACCCUUGUAGUC
This 440-nucleotide ribosomal RNA is filed under the name uncultured bacterium. Its description in RNAcentral is "partial 16S ribosomal RNA". It matches the Rfam family "Bacterial small subunit ribosomal RNA", at positions 338 to 795 of the family's 1533-position model. The record is from RNAcentral.